RNAcentral lists this ribosomal RNA (253 nucleotides) under uncultured bacterium. Its description in RNAcentral is "partial 16S ribosomal RNA". It matches the Rfam family "Bacterial small subunit ribosomal RNA", at positions 524 to 776 of the family's 1533-position model. The record is from RNAcentral.
UACGGGGGGGGCAAGCGUUGUUCGGAAUUACUGGGCGUAAAGGGCUCGUAGGCGGCCAACUAAGUCGGACGUGAAAUCCCUCGGCUUAACCGGGGAACUGCGUCCGAUACUGGAUGGCUUGAGUUUGGGAGAGGGAUGCGGAAUUCCAGGUGUAGCGGUGAAAUGCGUAGAUAUCAGGAGGAACACCGGUGGCGAAGGCGGCUAUCUGGACAGAAACUGACGCUGAGGCGCGAAAGCUAGGGGAGCAAACAGG